This 1590-nucleotide long non-coding RNA is filed under the name Bemisia tabaci. RNAcentral describes it as "lncRNA ENSSWEETPG003482". The record is from RNAcentral. Lineage: Eukaryota; Metazoa; Arthropoda; Insecta; Hemiptera; Aleyrodidae.
AUUAAAAGUACAAGAGCAUAAUUAUUAAUUACUUUAAUUGACAAUUAAAUUAAUUGUUACGAUCGAUAGAAACUGAGAUUACAGCCCCUUUGAGAAUUAUCAGAUUGACUCAAAUAGUUCAAAUAUGGAGAGAAAAUUGAGUCAUUUUAGUCGACUAAAUGAGCCACAUGAUUAGUAAUGUUAGCCAGUUGCCCUCAUUUUGAAUUUCGCAUUAUGUUAAUGCAUCGUUUCAAUGAUACUUUUUAACGAUACCUAAAGGGUGAUAAAAAAAAGUGAUAAACAUUUGUGUCAAUUAAAAAAAUGAGUAACAGUGAGUGAUACUUUUUAACGAUACCUAAAGGGUGAUAAAAAAAGUGAUAAACAUUUGUGUCAAUUAAAAAAAUGAGUAACAGUGAAAGAUACAUAUCUUGUCGUAGGCUAAUGGCCAAAUCAAACAGUUUGCCAAAUACUAGGGGUCUAUAGGGAUAAAGUCAAUUAUCUUAUUUUAAAAAACUGAAACAAAGCACAUCUUGGCCGCAGAAUUUCAAAAUCGCCGUUCCUGUUUCAUUUUUUGUAAAAGGUGACUGAGCCAACAUCAUAGCAUGAAAUUUUCACAAAUUUUACUUCACUUAGAGAAACAAAUCACAAAAAUUUACAGGAAAUCCCGUUUAGUAUUUUUUCAUGUAGAAAAUGCAGUAUGACAGGCGGCCUGCAACACCGGAAAACCAAGAUAGGCAUCACUGCAGUUUCUGCAGUCAUCGAUAUGCAAUUAAAAAUUAUCACGUUAUAGGCCGUUCUAAAAUGGGUAGACUUGAGCACCCAUUUGAGGAAUGGUGCUAUUCUCUUUCGUUCCUCCUCUUGACAAUCGCUUAUUUUCAAGAGAAUUUGGCGCAAAAUAUGUCAACUCCUGGACCGAGAUGGGGUCCAACCGUUGACCCCAAUAGCCGCGUCUAUAGUCCCAUUAGAUCUGCAGAGGAAAUUGAGGAAUCACUCAGACACCACAUGCUUCUACCAUUUGUUAUCAGCUACGCUCCGAAACAAAUGCUAUGGGUAAGGAUUAGAUUGCCUAUUAAAUUAGGGGAAUUUUUAUCGUGUUGGAAGUUUCGAAUACUUGAGACAAAAGGAUGAAAGACAAAUCGGGGGGGGGGGGGGGGGUGUCAGAGAGUCUGGAUCCCUUGCCUACUCACUGAACAUGUUACCCCAGAGCAGCAGAACCUCAUUUUAACUUUAAGCUCUCAAUAGAGAUGUUGAACAAACCUCCCUCUCGAUCUAAUUGGGUGAAAAUUGUCCACAGUUGCUCUCUGAUCGGACGUUCCUGAUGUUGCACAGCUUAACUUCAGGAGAGAAAUCUUCCUCUAUGAAAAAUUGUUCACCUACAGUGAGAAUAAAAUAGCGUCACCCUGGCUGAUCGUAUAAUCGAUCAACAUGUGCCUUAAGACUAUAGUCCGUGCAAAGGUAUUAGAUAGAGUAAAAAUUCGGGCAUUUUCGGGCGAGCCGAGAAUUGCAACGUUGGAUCCCGGCGAGGAGCCGCUGGGUCAGCGCAGAGCUCACCGGGGUAUUGUUCCCAUUGUGUCCACCCCGGGCCUUUACCUGGCGGCCGGACCCUGGUCA